This 3615-nucleotide long non-coding RNA is filed under the name Homo sapiens (human). Its description in RNAcentral is "non-protein coding lnc-TMEM161B-4:1". The record is from RNAcentral. Lineage: Eukaryota; Metazoa; Chordata; Mammalia; Primates; Hominidae.
AAAAUUUUAAAGAGUUUAUUUGAGCAAACAGUGAUUCACAAAUCGGGCAACUCUAAACCAGAAGUUGUUUCGGAGCUCUGCUGAGCACAGCUCAGCAGUGGGGAGGCUUUUAUAGGAGGAACAGGAAAGCAAAGAAAAUAUUUAUUUGGUUAUAGUUAUAUCAUUUCCUUCUUUGGUCAUCCUCUUGGAAAGUCCCUAGCUACAUAAUUAUAAAGCUGCUUCUGACUGAUUGAGCUUAAGUUGUGUUAUAUUCAUUUACCGGAAAUAGCUCCAGUUAACUUUUAGAUUAUGUUUGCAAAUCAAGUAAGGUUAACUUAUGAGGCCUAACUGGGUUUCUCUGCACAGAGAUUCUUCAGGCAUGGUCUCCAUUUUAAUUUGCUUUAACAACAUGUAUCAUUCUAUUGGCUUUGCUUCUCUGGAGAAUCCUGACUAAUACACGAGUCUUUUAGAGAUAUUACCGGAUUCUCUUUGAACUCUGUGUAUUAACUUUACAGGGUUUCUGUAACAAACUACCACAAACUGAAGGCUUAAAACAAUAGAAAUUUAUUCUCUUACAGUUCUGAGGCCAGAAGUCCAAAAUCAAUGCAUUAGCAGGGCUGUACUUCUACGGGAGGAUUGAAUAUCUGUCCUUGGCCUUCUCCAGCUUUAGUGGCUGUCAGCAUUCCUUGAUUUAUGAUCACAUUACUCCAUUCUCUGCCUCCACGGUCACAACUACUCCCUCCUCUUCUCCAUGUCUUCUCUUCUGUCAUAUAUGAAUACAUGUCAUUGACUUUACAGUCCACCAGAUAAUCCAGGAUGAUCUCCUCAUCUCAAGGUUCUUAAUUACAUCUGCAAAGACCUUUUUAUCCAAAUAAGGUACCAUCCACGAUUCUAGGAUUAGGAGGAAGGCUUACCUUUUGCAGGGGCCACCAUUCUACCCCUACAUCUUACCUAAGAAUAAAAUUUUUUCUUCUUUCAAGCUUUGCCUCUUGAAGCUCUGAAGAAAUUUAAGACCUGUUCUUUUCUCAUCACCUUAGCUUUGAAGACUUAGGUCUCCAUUUAAGCACUCUUUUGGCAAAUUCAGUCUAUUCUUUUGUUUCAGUUGAUUUUUUUUUUUUUUGGAAUUUCUUCUUCUUUUGGUUAAAUGACACCAAUGGGCAAAAAAGUUACUUAGUAAAAAAAAAAAAAAAAUUCAGGGAUUGAGAUUUCCACUUUUCAACCUGAAGGCCGAUGUUUUCCCAUGUUUAGUGUUCUAUUACGUUUUCCAUAAUUCCUCAAAGAUGAGUACCACUGUUCUCAGAUCUCAUUUGUACUUUUCCCCCCAAAGGCUGUAAUGUAAAAUACUCAGAGCAAAUGUUAUAAUCUAAAUUCAAACUCUUAGGUACUCUCUUAGAAUUUCUUCCCCUAAUUAGGAACAGUAUUGCUUUCUGUCAAUAUCUAUAAUAUGCUUCUGAGUAAUAUUAACAAGUUGCUCACUGGUGUGAGCCUGGCUCAGUGUUUUGAAUGUAUUACUUCUAUUAAUGAGAAAAAUCUGAUGGGAAGGAUAUCGCUAUGUCCAUUUUACAGAUGGGGAAAAGGAUACCCAGAAUAAUAUAACUAGUAAUGUCCCAUUGUCUAUAUGUACACAUGGCUAUUUUAGCACAUUCUGAUUUGUUAGCCUCCACUAAAGUUCGCCAUGUGGAAAAAUAUUUUCUUUCUAAUAAACUAAUCUAUCUGUAUAUCACAUCUUGAGUGUAAUCCCAAACCAGAAGAUAGGAAAUGGGAUGGGGAAUAGGACCUCUUUGAAGCAAAACAUGUCAGAAAGCCUAUGAAAUAAGACCAUAAAGUAGAGGGCCAUGAAUUGGGGUGGGAAAAAUAUUGUAAUUCUUGCUAACUUCGAAGUAAGAUUUAGGAUUUCUUUCCAUUGUGAACAUAUGCAAAAAACCACAGUGUUAUUACAAGUAUUUUGGUGACUUUUUCACUUAUCAAAAUCACAAACAUUUUCCUAUCACAUUACUAUAUUUGUAGAUAUCUCAAGAUACAAGAUUUUAUUAUUUAUUUAAUGCAUUAAUAAAAAGUACAGGUAUAGUAUACAUUUGUUAAAUAUUUUGAUUACCAUAUUUUAGUAUAAUUGAUUUUAUUUAUAAUCCUGUGCAUUAUAUUUGAUGUACAAAAGACAUUACUCUAAAAAGGACUCUAUAGGCUUCACCAGACUGUCAAAGGGAUCUGUGGCAUAAAAAAGGUUAAGAAAAUCUGUUAUGGGCUCUGGCAUGGUAGUUAAGAGCAUGUAGUCUGAUGUCACACUGCUUGGGUUCAAAUUCUGCGCUGUCACAUAUAAUAUGACUUUGGUUAAAUUAUGUAUAGUCUUUGUGUCUUAGAUUCUUCAUGUGUAAAAUGGAGAUAAUAAUGCCUACCUAAAUGUCUUGCUAUGAAUAUGAAGUAAUAUCAGUAACAAGCUUAAUACAAUGCCAGGCAUAUAGUACUGUGUUGUCACUAACACAGUGACUAACACUGACUAAAGUUUUAAAUUAUAUUUUAAAAUACUGACUAGUUUUAAAUUAUAUUUUAAAAAUACAUGUAUAAGGAAGAAUGAUAAAGACCCACAUGCCCUCCAUCCAGUUUAAGGAGAAAAAAGUUACUUUUACUCUAAAAAGGAUGCAUAUAAUUCAUUAUCCAAACAAUGACAAUUUGGGGAGUGACAGUGCUAUUAAUCAUUACACCAGGCAAUCAGCAAACCAGAACUGUGCUAGGUAAACCAGGACUGUUUGGCCAAACCAACACAUAUAAUUAUCAUACUUUUAAGCUCCUUGUUCACCUUUUCCUUACUUCAUUCCCUUCCCUCUGUAGCUAGAGGAAAUCACUGCCUUGAAUUUGUGCUUAUCAUUCUUUUGCUUUAAUUUAUAGAUUUACUUAUGUUUGUACCCUUAGGCUAUUUACUUUCAUUGGUUCUUUAUAUAAAUGGAAUCCUACUGUAAAAUUCUUUUGUGAAUUUUUAUUUGCUCAACAUUUUGUUAGCUGUUACGAAUAUCUACAAGUCAAUUCUAUCUUAAAUCUGCUUCUGGAGUAUCCUGAAUUCUGCUUUUUGUCAUACAGACUUUAGAAUCAGUUUGUCAAGCUCCUUGAAAAACUCAUUUGGGAUUUGUAUUGCAAUUACCUUCAUUGUGUAGUGGAGAACUGCCAUCUUAACUCGAGUCUUUUAAUCAUUGAACAUGGCAAUUUUAAAAUUAGACAUUUUUAAAUGCCUGUCAAUAAAGUUUUGUAAUUUUCUACAGAGGUCUUCUAUACCUUUUGUUAAGUUACCUAAUUUAUAUUUUUAAAGGAAUAUAGUAAAUGGUAUGUUACAAAAAUCAUUUUCUAACAGUUCAUUUCUGCUGGAAAGAAAUGCAAUUCACUUUUGUAUAUUGAUAGUCAUAUUAUCUGUUUUCACAUUGCUAUAAAUACUGGAGACUGAGUAAUUUAUAAAGAAAAGGGGUUUAAUUGGCUCAUGGUUCUGCAAGCUGUACAGGAAGCAUAGUGGCUUCUGCUUCUGAGGCAGCUUCAGGAAGCUCAAAAAAUAUCAAAUGGAUGUAUGUGAGUGGUCCUUGAAAAUGUGCACGAUUCCCAGAUCUUCUUUUAAUUGUCACGCUGUUCGUCCCCUCACAAAAUCAAGUUUAAACU